This 253-nucleotide ribosomal RNA is filed under the name uncultured bacterium. RNAcentral describes it as "partial 16S ribosomal RNA". It matches the Rfam family "Bacterial small subunit ribosomal RNA", at positions 524 to 776 of the family's 1533-position model. The record is from RNAcentral.
UACGGGGGGGGCAAGCGUUGUUCGGAAUUACUGGGCGUAAAGGGCUCGUAGGCGGCCAACUAAGUCAGACGUGAAAUCCCCCGGCUUAACCUGGGAACUGCGUCUGAUACUGGACGGCUAGAGUUUGGGAGAGGGAUGCAGAAUUCCAGGUGUAGCGGUGAAAUGCGUAGAUAUCUGGAGGAAUACCGGUGGCGAAGGCGGCAUCCUGGACCAACACUGACACUGAAUCGCGAAAGCUAGGGGAGCAAACGGG